Molecule: ribosomal RNA, 448 nt
Filed under: uncultured bacterium
Lineage: Bacteria
Description: bacterial SSU rRNA
Rfam family: Bacterial small subunit ribosomal RNA
Source: RNAcentral
CCCAGACUCCUACGGGAGGCAGCAGUGGGGGAUAUUGGACAAUGGGGGAAACCCUGAUCCAGCGACGCCGCGUGAGUGAAGAAGUAUUUCGGUAUGUAAAGCUCUGUCAGCAGGGAAGAAAGAAAUGACGAUACCUGACCAAGAAGCCCCGGCUAACUACGUGCCAGCAGCCGCGGUAAUACGUAGGGGGCAAGCGUUAUCCGGAAUUACUGGGUGUAAAGGGAGCGUAGACGGCGACGCAAGUCUGGAGUGAAAGCCCGGGGCCCAACCCCGGGACUGCUCUGGAAACUGCGUCGCUGGAGUACGGGGGGGGCAGGCGGAAUUCCUGGUGUAGCGGUGAAAUGCGUAGAUAUCAGGAGGAACACCGGCGGCGAAGGCGGCCUGCUGGACCGUGACUGACGUUGAGGCUCGAGAGCGUGGGGAGCAAACAGGAUUAGAUACCCCAGUA